AUGAAUAUUGCUCUCCUAUCCCGCUGGCUCUGGCGCAUCUCGCAAGGGCAUGGUGGCCUCUGGUUAGACAUCAUCCGGAAUAAGUACCUGCGUGGUCAACCCCUUGCCUUCUGCCUGCGUUCGGGCGGCUCCCAAUUCUGGCAGUCGGUUGUCCAACUUCUCCCCGUCCUCUGCAUCAGUACCUCUAUCUCGGUCGGAUCUGGGGCGGCUACGCUGUUUUGGUUUGACCGGUGGGCCAGCGAUGCCCCCUUUGCGGCCCGCUUCCCCGACCUCUUCUCCAUUGCUGUUGAACGCAUGAUCUCAGUUGAGAGGGCCCUUAUUGACAUAGGGCGCCUCGCGUUCCGGAGGCCAUUUGGGCCUCAGGAUACCGCCGCCUGGCAGGAUUUGCUUGAUUGUGUGGCCCUCCAUGAGCCGAGGGUGGACGCUGGCCCGGAUCAAGUGAGUUGGCGCCUCGAGCCUUCUGGCCAAUUCUCCACCAAGUCUUUAUACCAGGCCAUCGCUCCCUCCUCUGCUCCCCCCCCCCUUACGGCGGUGUGGUCCAUCCGCCUCCCGCUGAAAAUUCGGAUCUUCAUGUGGCAAUGGAUUCGCGGUCGGACCCCGUCUGGGGUCGAGGUCCUCAAGCGCAAUGGUCCGAGCUCUGGCUUUUGCCCCCUAUGCGGAGUCCCCGAAGACUCGAAUCACAUCUUCUUCUCCUGUGUGUAA
RNAcentral lists this ribosomal RNA (702 nucleotides) under Triticum aestivum (bread wheat). RNAcentral describes it as "partial small subunit ribosomal RNA". The record is from RNAcentral. Lineage: Eukaryota; Viridiplantae; Streptophyta; Magnoliopsida; Poales; Poaceae.